UACGGAGGUGGCAAGCGUUGCUCGGAAUCACUGGGCGUAAAGGGCGCGUAGGCGGCUUAACAAGUCGGGGGUGAAAUCCAGCAGCUUAACUGUUGAAGUGCCUUCGAUACUGUCGAGCUCGAGCAAGGUAGGGGUGCGCGGAGCUUCUGGUGGAGCGGUGAAAUGCGUUGAUAUCAGGAGGAACACCGGUGGCGAAGGCGGUUCUCUGGGAAUAUCCUGACGCUGAGGAGCGAAAGUGUGGGGAGCGAACAGG
Molecule: ribosomal RNA, 253 nt
Filed under: uncultured bacterium
Lineage: Bacteria
Description: partial 16S ribosomal RNA
Rfam family: Bacterial small subunit ribosomal RNA
Source: RNAcentral